AGCAGCCGCGGUAAUUCCAGCUCCAAUAGCGUAUAUUAAAGUUGUUGCAGUUAAAAAGCUCGUAGUUGAAUUUCGGGAUCAAUAUAUUGGUCGUGCCUCCGGUAUGCACUGGUAUUAUUGAUUUCUACCUUCUGACGAACUGUGAUGUCAUUAAUUUGGUGUCAUAGGGAAUCAGGACUGUUACUUUGAAAAAAUUAGAGUGUUUAAAGCAGGCAUUUUGCUGAAUACAUUAGCAUGGAAUAAUAAAAUAGGACGGCAUGGUUCUAUUUUGUUGGUUUCUAGGAUCACCGUAAUGAUUAAUAGGGAUAGUUGGGGGCAUUAGUAUUCAAUUGUCAGAGGUGAAAUUCUUGGAUUUAUUGAAGACUAACUUCUGCGAAAGCAUUUGCCAAGGAUGUUUUCAUUAAUCAAGAACGAAAGUUAGGGGAUCGAAGACGAUCAGAUACCGUCGUAGUCUUAACCAUAAACUAUGCCGACUAGGAAUCGGACGAAGUUAAUUUUAUAGUGACUCG
RNAcentral lists this ribosomal RNA (509 nucleotides) under uncultured Glomus. Its description in RNAcentral is "SSU rRNA". It matches the Rfam family "Eukaryotic small subunit ribosomal RNA", at positions 569 to 1078 of the family's 1831-position model. Lineage: Eukaryota; Fungi; Glomeromycota; Glomeromycetes; Glomerales; Glomeraceae. The record is from RNAcentral.